This 255-nucleotide ribosomal RNA is filed under the name uncultured Armatimonadota bacterium. RNAcentral describes it as "uncultured Armatimonadetes bacterium partial 16S ribosomal RNA". It matches the Rfam family "Bacterial small subunit ribosomal RNA", at positions 524 to 776 of the family's 1533-position model. Lineage: Bacteria; Bacillati; Armatimonadota. The record is from RNAcentral.
UACGUAGGGGGCGAGCGUUGUCCGGAAUUACUGGGCGUAAAGGGCGCGUAGGCGGCCCGUUAAGUCCGCUGUGAAAGACCGAGGCUCAACCUCGGGGUGUCAGCGGAGACUGGCAGGCUUUUGAGUCUCGGAGAGGGAUGCGGAAUUCCUGGUGUAGCGGUGGAAUGCGUAGAGAUCAGGAGGAACACCGAUGGCGAAGGCAGCAUCCUGGCCGAGGACUGACGCUGAGGCGCGAAAGCGUGGGGAGCGAACGGG